This 471-nucleotide ribosomal RNA is filed under the name uncultured bacterium. RNAcentral's name for it is "bacterial SSU rRNA". It matches the Rfam family "Bacterial small subunit ribosomal RNA", at positions 329 to 793 of the family's 1533-position model. The record is from RNAcentral.
GCAGAGCAUCCUACGGGAGGCAGCAUGGGGAAUAUUGCACAAUGGGCGCAAGCCUGAUGCAGCCAUGCCGCGUGUAUGAAGAAGGCCUUCGGGUUGUAAAGUACUUUCAGCAGUGAGGAAGGUGGGUAUGUUAAUAGCAUACUCAUUUGACGUUAGCUGCAGAAGAAGCACCGGCUAACUCCGUGCCAGCAGCCGCGGUAAUACGGAGGGUGCGAGCGUUAAUCGGAAUUACUGGGCGUAAAGCGCAUGCAGGUGGUUUGUUAAGUCAGAUGUGAAAGCCCGGGGCUCAACCUCGGAAUUGCAUUUGAAACUGGCAAACUAGAGUACUGUAGAGGGGGUAGAAUUUCAGGUGUAGCGGUGAAAAUGCGUAGAGAUCUGAAGGAAUACCGGUGGCGAAGGCGGCCCCCUGGACAGAUACUGACACUCAGAUGCGAAAGCGUGGGGAGCAAACAGGAUUAGAUACCCUGGUAG